GAUUUCAUUUAAUCGAAAUUUACACAUUCCGAAUGUGUUAAAUCGAGGGGGAGAAGUCAUCGAUCUCUAAACUGUUUUACUGGAUGUUGAUUUGAUCUUGAUAUUGGUAAGUAUACAGUCAACUACGACGAUUUUUAAUCAUAAUUUCGUAGAAAUGUCAAGUAGAACGAAUAAGAUACAAUGAACGUGUUUGGAAUUCGUUAUUUUUGUGUUCUAUGAGAUUCUACACUAUAAUUUAUUAGCACCGCGAACGCACAAUAUCAAACUGCGUAGUAAUUUGAUGACGGAACACGUUCGGGAUAUUAACCACGAACAAAGUUGUAGUUAUUUCGCGAUAAAAAAGAAGAGCUGUCAUAAUAUAGGUUAAGUAUGAUAUAAGAAGCGUUGUGAUUAUUUUAAUUUUUCAUUAAAUUAUGAAUAUCUUUUAAUAAGAAAAGAACAACAUAGUUUAAUUAAAAAUAAAUAAGUAAAUAAAGGAGAAAAAUAUAGUGAAAUUCUUAAAGAUUUACGAAACAUGAGGUUAGGGGUUUUAGAAUUGGGAAACGAGUUUUGAAACCAAUUAAUAGUGGAGAUAAAACAGGGAAAAACGAGUUGAAGACACAAAUUAUUGUAGAAAAAAUUUAUAACUAUUUUACUAUAGUCUGUUUGGAAAGAAGAUAAGAUAAUAAAUUGUUAAUUUGUCACGACAACUGUUAUGAAAACUCGAUUUUAAUAAAAUUGCUUUAAAAGUUAUUUUUUGAUAAAAUGGAAAAUCUAAUUUCAACAUAUUUGGUGGUUUUAUAUCUUUUAAGAGCUUUCACUCCCUCUAAACUUUCUUCCCCAUGACUUAGAUUGAAUUUUCAUCUCAUUAUGGUCUGUUUGGAAAGAAAAUUGAUCGAUACAUCAACCGAUUCUUUUGAUUAGAAUCAUAUCUGUUAAAAAUAAAAAGUAUCGUCAUAGAUAAAAAACAAAGAAACAUGAUUAUCAAUGGUGCUAACCAUGGAAAAACGACACUCCAUUCACUUAUAGAACCAGAAGACGGUUGAAGACUAAAAAGAAAGUGGCAAUCAGAUCUACAAAAGGGGUAAAAAGGACUUGUUGCUGAAGAAUACCUCACUACAACUGUUUUUUUUUUUGGAUAAAAAGUUUGUUGUUAUUCAAAAUUUUUAUAUUAUUGUCCAUUGAAAGAAAUUUUGAUUUCACUAUAGUAAGUUUGGGAAGUUAAUUAAAUAAAAAGUGUGGAAUUACUUUUAGUUUUAAGUAAAUUGAACUAAAUUUUUUAUUUUUUCACUAGGAUUUGGACAUUUCAACCCUAAUAAGACUCCAAUGUUUUUUUUUACUAAUAAAAUCGAAAUUUUAAUAAAAGACAUCAAAGAAUGUUGAUAUAAGAA
Diorhabda sublineata is the source of this 1370-nucleotide long non-coding RNA. RefSeq lists it as uncharacterized. The record is from RefSeq and is a predicted model, not a curated record. The transcript has 2 exons. Lineage: Eukaryota; Metazoa; Arthropoda; Insecta; Coleoptera; Chrysomelidae.